Nicotiana tabacum (common tobacco) is the source of this 837-nucleotide non-coding RNA. The record is from RefSeq and is a predicted model, not a curated record. NCBI's taxonomy places the organism in Eukaryota, Viridiplantae, Streptophyta, Magnoliopsida, Solanales, Solanaceae.
ACCGUAUCUCGGUGCUACAUUAUUAUUCCGCUUUUAUUACCGUAAAUAUUAUUUUGGUAAGGGGUUUAUUCCCAACACAUUUUCCGAAAACAUCAUGCGCCUCUUGGGAGCCGUUGUCUAGUACUGCUCUAUCUACUUCUGUUAAAACUGUUGGUUAUUCUAUGUAAGUCAGCUGAGUUCUCGCUGACCUUUUCUAACUUUGAGGCAGAAUUAAUAUGAUGUUAAGUUGCCAUUACACUAUGCUUGACAGCAGGCAUGACCUUAAGACUUUUCUAUACAGGAAAAACUGCUGUGUGAAGAAAACAAACAUCUGGAGAACCAGAUAGCUACGACGAAGAACAAGAGAGAAGUGAACAAUGGGAUGGCUUUAGAUUUCACUAACCUUGCACCAGCUAGCAUGAAUUGUCGGCAGCCAAAAGCGACCCUGAAUUUCCUCUAGUUAUUCAGGAAGGGUUUCCUGUAGAGGCUCAACUUGCCAAGGUUAUCUGGUGCAUCUUUACUUUGUAAAUUCCCAUUUGCAUGAAGAGUCCUGAAUCACUGCAAAUAAGGAGUUUCCAGAAUUAAUAAAAACUAAGUAUUUGAAUGUUCAUCUGUAAGACCAAAUAAUUGGUUGUGAGCGUGAUGAGUUCUUCUUUCCACGUGAGAUGUGUACGGAGCGUGAUGAGGAUCUUUAUUAUUGUAGCAGUAGCACGUUUAAAAGGUUAUGCGAAUGGUUCAGAAUGUAGACGAAUAAACUCUUGUAUGGACUAGAGUGCAGUCCUAGUACAAGCUCUGAGAAUGGACAACUUGAAAAGGUCUUUGUAGAAAGAGAGACAAAAGAAGGCAUCUUUUCUUAAA